RNAcentral lists this long non-coding RNA (638 nucleotides) under Capsicum annuum. RNAcentral's name for it is "long non-coding RNA (CANN_LNC001710)". The record is from RNAcentral. Lineage: Eukaryota; Viridiplantae; Streptophyta; Magnoliopsida; Solanales; Solanaceae.
AGCAGGUUCGACUUUCCUAAAUACAAUAAGGCAUGCUCUGCCUCCACCCUUUCAUCUGUAAGUUUUUCUUUAUAGCAAAAUAUUGUUCCUCCUCAUUACUAUCUGCUGUCAAAACUACUAGUGGACUAGAAUUUAGAGAGCUAUGAAAAAUCAAAGCUUUACUUUGCCACUUUGCUGAUAUGUAACUUCUUUUCUCCUCUGGAACAAAUAGAUCUUUAUCAACUCUAUCUCCUUAUUUUAAACUACUUCCCUCUUGCUAUUUUGGGCUAUAACUCUUACUGCUUCCUUGUUUCUUUGAACUAUUUUCUCCUUGUUGCUUUGGACUAUUAAUAUUACUACUUUCUUGUUUCUUUGAUGUGCUGCUUAUCUACUUUAUUUUAGAUGUUUUCACCUGGUUUUCUACCAAAGUAAAAGUAUUUUUCACCCAUUCGUUUGUAUUAAUAACCUUCUCUUUUUCUUUUCCUUCAUCUUUGUUCUUCAUUCCUUCAUCAUGUGUUCCCCUCUUUAAUAUUUCAAAAGGGUUAACAGAAGUAAGCUCAUCAGUUUUCCAAAUGUUCUCAUUUAAUAGAUAGUCUGAAUCCUUAAUUUUUACAAAUCUCCUAUUAGUUGGAUACCACCUUCUGUAUCCUUUCCCAUCU